Molecule: RNA transcript, 7419 nt
Organism: Haemorhous mexicanus (house finch)
Lineage: Eukaryota; Metazoa; Chordata; Aves; Passeriformes; Fringillidae
Gene: PATZ1
Gene name: POZ/BTB and AT hook containing zinc finger 1
Exons: 7
Source: RefSeq, a predicted model, not a curated record
AUGGAGCGGGUGAGCGAGGCCGCCGCCUGCGGCCCCUCGUCGGGCUGCUACACCUACCAGGUGAGUCGGCACAGCGCCGACGUGCUGCACAGCCUCAACCAGCAGCGCAAAAACGGCGGCCGCUUCUGCGACGUGCUCCUACGCGUGGGCGACGAGAGCUUCCCGGCGCAUCGCGCCGUGCUGGCCGCUUGCAGCGAGUACUUCGAGUCGGUGUUCAGCGCGCAGCUCGGCGACGGGGCAGGUGGCGGCGGCGCGGAGGGGAGCGCGGCGGAGGCGGCGGCCGGCGGGGCUGCGGCGGCGACCAGCGGCGCCCCCGGGGGCGGGCGGGAGCUGGAGAUGCACACCAUCAGCUCCAAGGUGUUCGGAGACAUCCUGGACUUCGCCUACACGUCGCGCAUCGUGGUGCGGCUGGAGAGCUUCCCGGAGCUCAUGACGGCCGCCAAGUUCCUGCUGAUGCGCUCUGUGAUCGACAUCUGCCAGGAGGUCAUCAAGCAGUCCAACGUGCAGCUCCUCGUGCCCCCCACACGCCCUGACAUCAUGCUGUUCCGUCCGGGUGCUGCUGACCUCGGCUUCCCUCUUGACAUGACCAACGGUGCCACUUUGGCACCCAAUGGCAAUGGCAUCGCUGGCAUGCCUGAAGAUGAGGCCACACGGGCUGCGCUCACCGCUGCGCAGUCCUCCCUCCCUGUCCUGCAGGGUGUGGACCGUCUGCCCAUGGUGGCAGGACCUCUGUCCCCACCACUGCUGGCCUCACCCUUCCAGAAUGUUGCUGCUAGUGCCCCCACUUUAAGCACCAAGAGGGGCAGAGGGCGUCCCCGUAAAGCAAAUCUCUUGGACUCCAUGAUGUUUGGUAGCCCAGGGGGCCUGCGAGAGGCUGGUAUCCUGCCUUGUGGUCUCUGUGGGAAGGUGUUCACGGAUGCUAAUCGUCUUCGGCAGCAUGAGGCUCAACAUGGGGUGACAAGCUUACAGCUGGGCUACAUAGACAUCCCACCCCCACGACUGGGUGAAAAUGGUGUUCCUGGUCAGGAUGACCCCGACGCACCUCGAAAAAGAAGCAGGACGAGGAAACAGGUGGCCUGUGAGAUCUGUGGCAAGAUUUUUCGGGACGUGUACCACCUGAAUCGGCACAAGCUGUCACACUCUGGCGAAAAGCCUUACUCUUGUCCGGUGUGUGGCUUGCGGUUCAAGCGAAAAGACAGGAUGUCCUAUCAUGUUCGAUCGCAUGAUGGCUCUGUGGGAAAGCCCUACAUCUGCCAGAGCUGUGGAAAAGGCUUUUCCAGGCCAGACCACUUGAAUGGACACAUCAAACAGGUGCAUACCUCAGAGAGACCUCACAAGUGUCAGCAGGAAAAUGGCAGCCACCAUGGAAUAAGCUCAGAGACAUCCACAUCCAUAGAAAAGUUGAAACUUCAAGAGACUUGUAAUGCUUCCUUUGCCACUCGUGACCGGCUGCGCUCACACCUGGCAUGCCAUGAAGACAAAGUCCCGUGCCAGGUGUGUGGGAAGUACUUGAGAGCAGCAUACAUGGCAGAUCACCUGAAGAAGCAUAGUGAAGGACCAAGCAAUUUCUGCACUAUCUGUAACCGAGGUUUCUCCUCUGCCUCCUACUUAAAGGUCCAUGUUAAAACCCACCACGGUGUUCCCCUUCCCCAGGUCUCCAGACACCAGGAGUCCAUCCCGAAUGGGGGAGCAGCGUUCCACUGCGUCAGGACCUAUGGCAUCAAAGAAGGCCAGAAAUGUUCACAUUCGGACCCGAUUGAGAGUUCUGACUCAUAUGGAGACCUCUCUGACACCAGUGACCUCAAGACUCCUGAGAAACAGAGCACCAAUGGGUCCUUCUCGUGUGACCUGGCAGUCAGCAAAAACAAAAUGGAGAUGGAAGGAGAGAAGAAGUACCCGUGCCCUGAAUGCGGCAGCUUUUUCAGAUCCAAGUCUUAUCUGAACAAACACAUACAGAAAGUGCACGUCAGGGCCCUUGGUGGCCCACUGGGGGACCUGGGUCCUGCUCUAGGAUCCCCCUUCUCACCCCAACAGAACAUGUCUCUUCUGGAGUCGUUUGGGUUUCAGAUCGUCCAGUCAGCAUUUGCAUCAUCCCUAGUGGAUCCAGAGGUCGACCAGCAACCAAUGGGGCCAGAGGGGAAAUGAGAUCAGUUGGAUCUUAACAAAGCAAAGCAGCAGUCUGGCUCUAAUGAUAAGAUGCUGUGAAUGAAAGAGGAAAUAAUGAAAUUUGGUUCUAUAGCUGAGAAUUUUUUAUUCAUUUUAGCUUCCUUCUUUGUCUCAUACCCUACCCCACCUUUAAACCUUCACUGGGGAGAGGGAGAAAAUGCUUCUUUAGCUGAUAAAUUACAGAAGAUGGUGGCCUUGAAUAGGAGAUAUGACCCAAAACAAAUGGAGCUUUAGAGGCUGCUGGUGGUGUUUUCCAUAUGUUCUUUGAGAGUAAUUAAGAGUUACCAGCAUGGUCUGAGAAUGAGACAGUCCUAGUGACCGAGGCACCUGGGGAGCUGCAGCUACAGGGAGCUGUGAUUUUGUUCUCCCUCUAUUCCCCUGCCCUCCCUAAACUCCCCCAGAAAAACAGUAAGUUUAAAAAACAGACCCAUCAUUGAAUAUAAAGUAAAAUGCCCCAUGGUUCCUAGCAGGUUACAAUGCAGUUGUCCUUUUAAAACCAGAAACAUUUAAAGAAGGUGAGAGAAUUUGAUCCCCUUCUGCCUUUGUGAGGCUGUGAGUGCUGCAGCAGGACUGAACUGCUGAGAAAAAUCACCUUUCAGAACAGGUUGUUUUUAUUACUUUUGACCAUUAAACUUGCUGUCAGGUUUUUAAUUCUUUAUUAUUAUUAUUAUUAUUUUAGGACCUGUUGUAGUGAAUUGCUACUGAAAAGCCAGUCUAAGGCGGUACACAGAGCACUCGUAAAGCAGCAGUCACAUUAGGCACCAGCACUUUCUAAAUUGAGAGCAUGUUGCAGUGGACUUGAUGUUUUGCUAUUAAUCUGUGUUGGGAGACUGAAGGACAUGUUCUUCUCCAGUCAUCUCCUCCUCCCAGAAUCCUGGAAUAGGUAUGAGCCUCAUUUAAAAGGAAAAAUCAGUGAAACAAACAAACCCCAGCACUAAAGCUUCACGGAAUUGCUCUUGUACUGGUAAGAUUAGUAGACAGGUAAAAACAGAAUAUCUUAGAAAAGUGACAAAACAUUUUAAGAUACCUUACAAAACUAGUGCUGAGACAACCAAGCAAAUCAGGAGAGAGCAGGCUUUCCAGUCAGCACAACAGUCUGUUGGGAUUAGCAAAUGCAGCUGCAGUCACUGGUUUACUAAUAGCUCAUAAUUAAUCCACAAGGGAAAUUUCUGUUGAACUGAGGCUGUGUGCUGAAAGACAGAAGGUUUUGUCCCCAGUGUUCCUAUGUGCACUCAAAGAAGGUGCAUUAAUCAUAAAAUUCAACUCCAAAAGCUAAGUCCAGAGUAUAGAAUACUUUCAUCCUACUUUUAUCUCCCCUGACUUUAGUGUUACAAGUGGGUUGAAUUUUGGCUGUAUCUAUGAGAAUUUAAUUUUGAAUGCUACAGAAUUUGACCUGGUGAAACAAAAGCCUUAUCUGAAAACGAAGCCUUCGAAAACACUGUGUAUUCUGCUUGUCAAAGAAAAUGCUUACUAAGUUAUCAUGAAUACAUUGAAUGAAAACUACUUACUUCUCAGUCUAGUGGACAGGGAAACAAUUAGGCAGGAGGUUAACAAUCCUGAAAUGACAGUUCUAGAUCAUCCUAGUGUAAAUGGGAGAGAUUUGUACCAACACAGGAGGCUGGUGCAGGCUAGUGCCAGUAGGAAGUUGGGCAGAUCUUUAGCUAUGGUGUGUUUUCAGUGCUUUUUGCUUCUUUGGGGCAUGCUGUUCCAUUCUGGACAGUGCUUUAAUCUACAUACAAAUUAUUUCUAUUCUGUACUUUGGGAAAUGCCUGUUUCUUAUAGAAAUGAGACAGAUCCAAACAGAAAACUCAGCCUCACAAGUUCAGAGUUCAGAGGGAAGUAUGUAACAUGCCUUGAGCUGCAGCUUGUUGCCAUUGCAUUUUAUUUUUAAUUGGUGUGUAGAUGAUAGUUCUGAUUUGGGCCACCCUCCCUUCCUUGCCUUCCCCUUUGGAGGGACUGCAAGGCAAUGUUUGAGUUGGUGCACAUGUCAAGAAUGAAACUUCAGUUCAUGCAAAUUUAUAUCAUCAGACUUGUAGUAUUUGUUUGUAUUAUAGGAGUCCCAUAACCUCUCAUCUGAGGCUCAAGCCUUGUGUAGUAGGUAUGAUGAAAACAUCUUCAGUCAUUCAUAAUCUAAAUAUUAAAGACAGCCAAGAAAGGAAUAGAUGCUUAUUAGAGAAUGAGUGAGAGAUAAAAGACUAAAAACCACUUGCAUGCAUGCUUAAGUGUUGUCUUUAAAUGUGAGGGCACAAACUUCUCAGGCUUUUGUUGCCUGAAUUUAUAGAUGUUAAUCCAGAACAAAUGCAAGGUAAAGCAAUUUAAUGUGAAUUUAUUCCAUACUCAGUUAAAUUAGGUGAUGUGACCUUGCAUUUGUCAUGUCUUAAAUGUGUGCAGACAGUGUGGCUCACCUGACACAUGGCAAUGUGCAUGUGAGCUCUCAAUCCUAAGUGAUUUGCCCAUGAUGAUAUGGGAAAUUGAUAGCAGAACCAGAAAUUGAACACAGAUUUUUCCUUCUCUCAAUCCAGUGCCUUAAUUAUAGUAGGGCAAAGUAUUAUAUGUUGGGGGGAUGGGUUUUUUGGUUUUUAAAGCCUAGAACUAUUAAGAUGGUGUGGAGGUUGGUCUUCCUACCAAUCUUUUGAAUAAUUGUAAAUGCCCAGUCACAAUUUUAGACCUGUUUGAGUGCCAGUGACUUAGGGAAUAUUUGUUAUUUCCCAUGUAUUCCCUGAAAUUAUUGUUCCUCCCUCAGCUGCUGUCAGCAGUAAGGAAUGACUUGAAUAGAAGAGCUGUGUAACUGAAUGUCUAUAACUCAACUAAUUGAAUUGCUAGUAUGAAAGCUAACCUAGAUUUUGUAGGCUCUGUUGUAACUUUAGUGUCUUGUUUUUUCACUAAAUCUUUGUUCCUAGAAUUCAGUAUCUAAACUUAUGUCUUGAGUCGGGAGUGGGGUACCACUUUCAGCUUUAAUUUUUUUUAAGGUGCUUGCUUGAGGAAGUAGAUGCCAAAGUAAACUUCAAAGGAACUCCAGACUUCAGUGUUGGAAGAAUGAAUGGAGAGCAAGAACUCUCCUUGGGUUUCAUGAGAGAUAAAUGGACAAAGUAAAAAACAGCCACCAAAAUUCUAAGUAAUGAAACAGGAAAGGUUUUCUUUACCACCCACAAAAAUAAUAAAAUAUUUUCAGUUGUCACCAUGGCAUAAAGUCUGAGAGCAAGUGCCAAACAACACAAUGUGCUGGCUUUUUCAGCAUUAUUGUUAUACCUUAACAGCAUUGUCAAUACUCAAAUGUAAAUUAAGCCAGCUUAGUACUACUCCCCUUUUUCUUGGGCACAAUACCUGAGUUUUAUUUAAACAGAGCAGAAGCUCACAGUGAAUUUCUGAGCUUAGGCUCUCAAUUCUACCCUGAGAGACAAAACAAAUGAGCAAAGAGGGGGGAAAAAAUAAACCCACUAGGAAAACUUAAAAAGGAAAACAAAUUCUGGAGGGCUCCAGUGUCUCUGGAAAGAGCCACGUUUUUUUAUCCUGAACAUCCUUUUCAAAACAAGAACUUUCAGCUGUUGUGAAUGAGCCCUUGGGAACAUAUUUGGCUUCCAGCCCAAUCUGCUGCAGCUCCCUGGCCCUGGGAGAAGGCAGCAUGUUCCAGAGGACUGAGCCUGGGAUCCAGAGGGAGGGGGCAGGCAGUGCUCCUGGGCUGCAGCCACAGGUACUCCUGCAGUCAGCACCAGCACUGGCAAAGUCUCGUGUGCCUGCUGCUUUCAUGCUCACCCUCCACACAUCCUGUGCAUCCUACUCGGAUGUGUGCAGCUCUGCAAAGGGCUGUUGGCUGUAAAACAAAGCAGGAGCUAUUUGGCUAAGAAGAAAAAAGAGAAGCACCAGUUGAAAAGAGUGCUGUGACAUAACUGCAGAGUGAUGCAGCCCAGGAGCAGGAGCCCUGGCUGUGAGGGGUUGUGGUGAUGGCUGGAAUGGUUGUGGCACGUCAGUGAAAACCACAGCUGUGCACUCUGUGGUGGCAGGCACUGAUGGCCUGUUUGCCAAGAAUGAACUCCCUGUGUCAUGUCUAGCCUCUUCCUGUGUUGUGUUCCUGUCUGUGAGAUGAGAUGAUGAUAACCUUUGGGUAAGAACGUGCCAAUAUUUAAUUGAUGUGCCAUAUUGUGCUGCACAAUUGUGUUGCUGAACUCUGUCACAAAUGUUUGGCCUCACUGACUUCAGAUGUAAUGCAAAGUUAAACAAACAUUUGGCCACAUUUUUCCUGAAAGGUGUGAUAUUUAAAUUUAUUUAAAGACUGCCUGGCACUAUUGAUCUGCUCUCAGGGUUUAUGUGAAUGAAGCUUUUCCUGGGUGGCCUCCAUACUUGUACUGCAAUUUUGGAGACCUGGAAGUGCUCUGAGCCGAGAUAUGCUGAAGGAGGGAGAUAACUGGAGUCUCACUGAUGUUCCAGUGACUCCCUCCCAGCUCCUGAGUUCCCUGUGGACCAUGGAGUCACUUCAUGCAGCCACUGGCAGCCAUAAAUGCUCUUGAGCAUCCUGCAGUCACAUAGUGACCUUGGGUAAGUGAUUUUAUAAUAAAUCAGUCUCAUGCUUGCUAAUACCUUUUUGGCUGCUGUGUCUACAAACUGGUGCCUUCUCCAGGCAAAUUUUACAUGCCCUCUGCAAAGUUGUCAGACUGACUGCUGGCUCUUAAGGAAUCAACCAAGCCUUGCUCUUGGGCUCAGAAUUUUUCUUUGGUACUGUUGUAAUCUGAAAGUUUGCUGCAAUUAGUGCAAAUACCAGAGUAAGAGAGAAAAUAAAAGGCUGUUCUUAGAUGUCUUGUAGAGUGAACAACUGAAACACGAGUGUGGGAUGAGCCAGGAAAACUGGUAUUUUUCCCUGGCUGCACGCCAUAUGGAAGAGACAGUGCCUUGGAAGGGAAAGAGCAGAAAAGUUUGCCAUUGGCUCUGAUGAAUCCCAAUCCUGCUUCUACUGAAGUUGCUGGGAAUCCUCCCAUUGUCUUCAGUGGAGCAAGAAAGGAUCUUAGGUGAGGAUGGAUGGCUCUUUCCCUACUUGAAUGAAGUCUCUUGCCUAUUUAUGGGCCUGCUUCUAUUGAAACCGAGCCUGUUUUAGCCUUUUUGGGUUCUUAGGGACCUGUUUGUAUAAAGCAACUUACCUACCUAUCUUUUUUUUUUUUCUAUUGUGUGUAUUUUUUGUAUGUUCUGUUGGAAGGUGAAGCCUCUGUAGAAGGGGAUAAAAAACCUGAUUUUUAAAUAGUAAUAAACCAAAAGAGAAUUAAA